Unclassified non-coding RNA from Macaca fascicularis (crab-eating macaque), 117 nucleotides. It matches the Rfam family "Metazoan signal recognition particle RNA". From Rfam's summary of the family: The signal recognition particle (SRP) is a universally conserved ribonucleoprotein. It is involved in the co-translational targeting of proteins to membranes. Lineage: Eukaryota; Metazoa; Chordata; Mammalia; Primates; Cercopithecidae. The record is from Ensembl.
GCCGGGCAUGGUGGCUCAUGCCUGUAAUCCCAGCACUUUGGGAGGUCGAGGUGGGUGGAUCACCUGAGGUCAGGAGUUUGAGACCAGCCUGGCCAACAUGGUGAAACCCCGCCUCUA